UAAUUCCAAUUUUCACUAAAAAUUAACGGACUAAAAACAUAUUUAAGCAAUUCUUAAAUAACUAUAUUAACAUAUUUAAGAAAAUAAAACAUUUUUAAACCCUCUACAAAUUUGUAGACGUUGAAGACUAUCACUUUAAUUAUAAGACUUAUUGAGUUCAUUUAUCACUUUCUCUUAUUCUAUCUUUUGCACUCAUGGAACAAGUAUCUUAAAAAGUUC
RNAcentral lists this long non-coding RNA (219 nucleotides) under Vigna radiata. RNAcentral describes it as "long non-coding RNA (VRAD_LNC011343)". Lineage: Eukaryota; Viridiplantae; Streptophyta; Magnoliopsida; Fabales; Fabaceae. The record is from RNAcentral.